UCAACCCAUUUAACCUUCUAACCCAUCAAAUAAAAUGAGUUCAUGGGUUGACUCAACUCAACCCAUGAACCCAUUUAACUCUAAACUCAUUGGAUAAUGAGU
RNAcentral lists this microRNA precursor (102 nucleotides) under Arabidopsis lyrata subsp. lyrata. RNAcentral describes it as "pre miRNA MIR405". The record is from RNAcentral. Lineage: Eukaryota; Viridiplantae; Streptophyta; Magnoliopsida; Brassicales; Brassicaceae.